This is a long non-coding RNA of Vicia villosa (hairy vetch), 1123 nucleotides long. RefSeq lists it as uncharacterized. The record is from RefSeq and is a predicted model, not a curated record. The transcript has 6 exons. NCBI's taxonomy places the organism in Eukaryota, Viridiplantae, Streptophyta, Magnoliopsida, Fabales, Fabaceae.
UAGAAUUCAACGAAUCAUGUUUCAUUCUUAGAAUGAUUUUCUCCUUAAUUCAUAAAUCUAAUCAGCUUAUAUUUGUUUAUAGAUGAUUGGCCUCACAAAGCCAACUUCUGGUGCAGCCUAUGUUCAAGGCCUCGACAUGAGAAAUCAUAUGGAUGGAAUAUAUACUAGCAUGGGAGUAUGUCCACAGCAUGACUUGCUGUGGGAAAGCUUAACAGGUAGAAAGCACCUACUUUUUAUGGAAGACUUAAAAAUCUUACAGGUUCACUCUUGACUCAUGCGGUAGAAGAAUCUUUGAAGAGUUUAAACCUUUACCAUGGAAGAAUUGCUGAUAAACAAGCUGAAAAAUACAGUGGAGGGAUGAAGAGGAGGAUCAGUGUUGCAAUUUCAAGGUUGCUUAUUAAAUCUCUGUUUCUUCUCUGCUACUUUCCUUUAUCUUGAGAAUACGAGCUUCAAUGUUGGAAGGAAAUUAUUGAUAUGUGUGAUAAUUCUGUUGGGCUGAGCCGACAAUUGAAGGGAUCAAUUAUCCCAUCAGAACGUCCAAAGCAUAUGAUGUUUAAGGAAUCGUAGGUGUAAUAACUGCAGAAGGUGGGCCUCAGCUCUUCUUUCAAUGGUUUCUUCAUUACCGGAGGUACCGCUUUAUUGCCUGGCCUAUUUAAACAAACCUGAGAUUCCUGUCUUACUUAUGAAACUAUAGGUGCAGUGCUGCACAGUGCAAUAUUACCAAUAUAUUGAAUCAUGUCGCAUAGCUGUUAAACCGAAAUGUUGUGAUCAAUGUACCAAACAACACCAAAUCGGGGCCAAAAUAAUCAUGCGAAAUGUCAUCACCAUGAAGGUCGCAUAUACAAUUUCAUAGGAGAAGUUUUCCGAUCUCAUACAGAAAGAAGAAUUCAAAAGAGUGAUAGCAUCGAUGCGAUCUCAUAGCAGGCAUGGUGUUGAUUGAAGGGAUCUAGAGGCAGAUGCCUUUGUAGAAAAUGGAAGGAUGGUGGAAUACUUAUUUGGUAAAGACGGAAAAGGUUGCCUCGGACAUGAUAAAUUUGUGCAGUUUAUAAGAGAUCUUAUAUAUAAUUGUGUAUGUAAACUAAUUACAAUUUUGUGUAUAGAUAUUGAGGCUGGAGUUUGUUCA